Dunckerocampus dactyliophorus (ringed pipefish) is the source of this 8814-nucleotide RNA transcript. It is a transcript of the gene named inactive ubiquitin carboxyl-terminal hydrolase 54-like, with no coding region annotated. The record is from RefSeq and is a predicted model, not a curated record. The transcript is spliced from 21 exons. NCBI's taxonomy places the organism in Eukaryota, Metazoa, Chordata, Actinopteri, Syngnathiformes, Syngnathidae.
GAGGAUCUUUGACUAACAUUUUUUUUCAUUAUGUGCUUAAAAACAGGAGAACAUCUUAUUAGAAUAGCCCUGCUUUAAACUAUCACAGAGUGCGUAAAGGAUAUGCCGGUAGAGAUGACGUCAUUCUCUCGCCACACAGUUAUAUUGGUUUACUGCCCAGUAGGGGGAGGCAUCGCGCUGAGCUUCAGCACACGUCACAGAAGGUGAAGUGAAACUGCUGGUGAAGGAGGAAGAGGAGGAGGAGGAAGAGAGGAUACGUAUCGCGAGAGCGGUGUUGUGUUACACUGGAUAGGGCGCUGGUGUUGGCUCCCUGACGGCCUGAAUGCCUGCGUGGAGUGGAUACGCCCACGGCUCAGCCUCCUCUCUGCCGUUGAAUCACACGGUGUGACACGCUAGUGGACGGAGACUGGCGGCGCAUGGCUGCAUCCAUCCGAGGUCCAACGAGGAGGACAUGAGAGGACAUGGGAGCGUCUGGCUGGCCCAAAAAACAUUUAUCAGACCGGAUUGGCCAAAGGACAACUUGCCAAAGGACGAGUGACAAACAAACGCCAACAGUGGCUCUGGCAGCGAGUGCACAGAUUCUAAAGGAGUAAAACCACCGCUGGACAGGGGCCGGCUUGUAUGGGGGCCAAAUCCCCGUCCAAGACACAGCGCGUCUCCUCGAUCCUCCAUCCUCAUCCCUCCUCCGUCCCUGCUUUUCUCUCAUUUGCCCUCUUUCACUCUCAUGGGAGUGACAUAGACACCGCUGCUCUGUCCGCUGCUCCGCCCCUUCCCCGUCUUGCCGAGGGAAUGGGAGCAUUCAGGUAGGGAUGUCGUGGAAGAGGAACUACUUUGCUUCCGGUGGCGGGGUGCAGGGGCUGGCGACCUCGAGAACCAUGACCUCCAUCGCGCCGAGCAAAGGCCUGAGCAAUGAGCCGGGACAGAACAGCUGCUUUCUGAACAGCGCUCUGCAGGUUUUGUGGCAUCUGGACAUCUUCCGCAGAAGCUUUCGCCAGCUGACCACGCACAAAUGCAUGGAGGACUCAUGCAUCUUCUGCGCACUGAAGAGCAUCUUUGCCCAAUUCCAGUUCAGCAGUGAGCGCGUGCUGCCGUCAGAUGCACUGCGCAGCGCCCUGGCCAAGACUUUCCAGGGAGAGCAGCGCUUCCAGCUGGGCAUCAUGGACGACGCCGCCGAGUGCUUUGAAAAUCUUCUGAUGCGUAUCCACUUCCACAUCAGCGCAGAGAGCAGAGAGGACAUCUGCACGGCCAAACACUGCAUUCCGCACCAAAAGUUUGCCAUGACUCUGUUUGAACAGUGUGUUUGCAACAGCUGCGGAGCCACGUCGGACCCGCUGCCUUUCAUUCAGAUGGUGCAUUACAUCUCCACCACGUCCCUAUGUAACCAGGCAGUGAGGAUGCUGGAGUGCAGAGAGAAGGCCACGCCGGACAUGUUUGGGGAACUUCUGCGCAACGCCAGCAACAUGGGAGACCUCCGCAACUGUCCCAGUAACUGUGGCGAGGUGCUGCGUAUCCGUCGCGUGCUGAUGAACUCGCCGGAGAUCGUGUCCAUCGGGCUGGUGUGGGACUCGGACCACUCGGACCUGGCAGAGGACGUCAUACACAGCCUGGGCACCUGCCUGCGCCUGGGCGACUUGUUCUACCGAGUGACAGAGGACCGGGCUCGCCAGACAGAGCUCUACUUGGUGGGCAUGGUGUGCUACUAUGGCAAGCACUACUCCACCUUCUUCUUCCAGACCAAGAUACGCAAAUGGAUGUACUUCGAUGAUGCUCACGUCAAAGAGAUCGGCCCAAAGUGGAAGGACGUGGUGUCCCGCUGUAUCAAAGGCCAUUAUCAGCCCCUGCUGUUGCUCUACGCUGACCCCCGAGGAACGCCGGUGAUACUGCAGGAAAGCGCCAACCUCUGCACUGGCUCCAACCCGCAGCUGGAGCUCCAGCACUGCAGCAGAAGCAGCAAGGCGGGCUACGACAGCGAAGACUCUGGUCGGGAGCCGUCCAUUUCCAGCGAUACCCGGACGGACUCUUCCACAGACAGCUCGAGCCACCGUGCCUCCCGCAGCCGACCCUUGCACCAAUCCACGGGCAGCCACUUGUCCAGUGACUCUCAGACCACGGUGGUCUGUAAUUACAACCUUGGCACGCCGUCGCACGGUGCUGACGCCAAAGAGUCAGCAGUGGAGGGUCCACCCCGACCCCCCUCUCCUCCCCUGCAGGAGUACAAGGAGACGGCCGUCUUCCUGCUGUCCUCCCGCCGCCCGCUCACCUCCUCCUCGUCUUCCUCUCGCCCCCUGUCCUCCUCCUCCUCGUCAGGGGUGGGGGGCUGUGAGAGCGGGGUCGGGGGGCCUCACUGGGAGGAUGAGAGCACCAGCAGCGAGAGCAAGUCCAGCUCCUCUGGCGGCUGCUACCGGCCCACCUGGAGGCCCCAUAGAGAAGCCCUGAACAUCGACAGCAUUUUUUCCACCCCGAACCAGAGGAUCUGCUCUCAGGGCUACCACACACUGCCGGGCCCCUCUCACCCUCCGCCGGCCCAGCUGCCCUUACCGUCGGUGCAGCCGACCACGCCCACGCUGCGGGGUUCUCAACAGGCUGCGGAGCUGGAGGCAAGAUUCGGGCUGGUGGGCCGGCCCACCAUGGUUCCCCCUGCCCCUCCGCCUCUGAGGGGGGUGGAGCACCAACCUCGCCUCAUUCAGAGGAUGGAGAGUGGCUACGAGAGCAGCGAGAGGAACAGCAGCAGUCCUGACAGGGAGGUGGGGCAACACAAACGGGCACUGAUGUCCGGACCGUCAUGGCGUUCGGUGCCCAAGUCUAAGAGCAGCGGUGCUAUCCUGCAGGAGCUACCCUCACCUGGACAGCAUGGGGCCACCAACACUGGGCGCAGUGAGCUGGACGAGCUCCAGGAGGAGGUGGCGAGGAGAGCCCGCCAGCAGGAGCAGCAAAAGCGCAAAGAGGCGGAGCAAGAGGCGGCCCAGGGAUUCAACCCCAAACCCAGCAAGUUCAUGGACCUGGAUCAGCUCCAGCACCAGGCUGUGCUCAGAUCGGUGCAUGAGGCUAGCGCUCAUAGCGGAUUGGCCGUAGCCGCGUGCAUGAGGAGCGCCACAGGGGAGCCCGUGGUCAGACACAGGCAGGAACAGGCAACGGAAUGGGAGUCAGGAAGCAGCCGGCAACAGGGGCCUUGCAGUGAACAGCCUGGCCCAGUCCAAGUACUGCUGACGCCCAAUCAGGAGGAGGUAGAGGACCAGGCAUCAGCCAACCAGGAGCCGCCCCCUCUGUCUCCACCCCUGCCCCCGCCCUAUCGCACCCCCAUCGGUCCUCCACGUCCCGCUGCGCUUACACUCAGCAUCCCUCAAACGAGCGCCCCCUCCGAUCGAGGCGGGAGCGGGGACGACAGGGGAGACGGCACGGUGGUGAGGCUGUGCGAGUUACUGCAGGCAGGGGGGGUGAGCAUCAGACCCCUGGGAAGGCACUUGGCUAUUUCUCUCCCAUCGCUUCCUCUGCGAUUUUGGGACACACCCAUCACUCAACCGCUGCCUCCCCCUCCUCCUCCGCCCCCUCCGGAAGCCUCCGGGCAAAGGAAACCUAUGACCCCUCUCUGGCAGCCACCCCAACCCGAUUCCACCACCGCCACCGCUGCCACCCCUCAGCCUUGGCAGCCCGCCGACAGCUCCACCCGUCAUUGGUCCUCCUGGAGUCUGGAUCGCCCCGACGCCAUGGUGACGCCCUAUGACACCCCUCCGGACCACUGUGCCCCUAUACCACCCAGGCAGCUGAGCGCUGGUCGGCACCCCUCUCGGGGGCACUAUAGCUCCCAGCAUGCCUUGGGGCAACACGCUGACCCCAGAAGCUGUGAGCAUGAGGAGGCAGAGCUCACGGAACUUGACACCCUUUACCAGGCCAGUCUGCAGGCGGGGAGGACAGGCUGCAGCCCGUCAGAGCGGCUCAUAUCCAGGGUGGGCGGCCAGGCUCGCUCCAGAACCCCCAAUGCAGACAUGGAAAGGAGCGUGUUUGGCCCGGACGGCGCCAGCACCCCCACCUACCUCAACAAGCCAAUGGUGUUGCAGGGUCUGCGUUUGGGGGCAGGGCCCGACGAGGAGGGUAACCUGAGGCGAAUUGGACGCAGCUUGAGCGGCACAGUGGUGGUAACCCCACACCGCCUGACCGCAACCCGCAGCUUUGCGAAGCAGGCUGAUGUCAGUGCCUCGCAUUGCUUACUUCCUCUCUCCUGAGUCCCUGUCGCUAUUGCACCACCAUCACCUCCUCCAUCCUCUUCAUCACCUUGUCAUCACCACCUCCCUCCACUGCCUCACAGGAGUUGUCGGGCAGUGCCGGGAGCUUCUGGCUGUAUUUGACGGGGGUCAAGCUGUCUUCUGGUGACAAGAGUCCUGCCCGCCCUCACUGACGUCCACUUGGGCAUCAUCAGGAGGAUGGACAAAGCCCUUCCCUCUAUCUCCCCCUCCCUUUUGGAAACGCCAUGCAACACGUCCACACACCUGCAGCAACAUAGAGCACCCUUGCUUUUCCCUCCCUCCCUCCUCCACCCUUUAAUCCAUUAUUCUGUCUAUGCAGUCACUCUGACCCCCAAACCUCAAAAUUGUCCUUACUUUCCGGGACUGCCCACCCCCCACCCCCCACCCCCUUUAUGUGAGAGAUCCUCGGCUAAAACUGCUGGGGUGAGCGGGACCUUUGCUCUUGGCUCCAACCAAGUAGCCACGCCUCUUCCUGUUUCAACACGGGCAUUUCCAGUUGGACGUAGCAGACCUGAUUCCGAUAGACAGCCAUAUCUUCCCUUUUUGUUUACUUCUUUUUGUCCCCUCUGGUGGUGUACAGACCAAGUCAUCAAGAAUAAGACUUUAUGGAAUGUUGAUCAUCAAUGAAUACUCUUCAUAUUCUGCAUUUCAAAUAGAAAGUGGGCUUCACUUCACAAGUGUCUAGCUGGAGUUUUUGCCCCUCUGCCCCCGCCACCCGCAGGACACAUGUAGCAAAUGACAGCUCUCCCGUUUCUACCGGGAGCUUAAAAAAGAAAAGAGCCUGUUGUUAGGUUUUUUUUUUUCUUCAUUUAUUUCAUGUUUGUCUUUUCACUGUCCCUUUCCUUCCAAAUAUGACGCAGUACCAAGGGGGGAGACACGUACGGGAAUGAAUGUAGAAUGAUGCUAGUGCACUUUGCAGGGCCACCGUGGUAGAAGUGCACUUUUUUAAAUGAAGGACUGAAAGGAGGAAGCUCGUGCUUGUUUCACUUUAAAAGGUCUCAGGUCUAAUCCGUGAUACACUUUAUAUUAGAAUGAAUAAUUCCCACCUUCGGGCCCAGACAUGUUGCUUUAAAUGUGUUAUUACAGGUCUAUUUUCAGCCCAUGUGCUGAAGGAUGUCAACCAUGUUGUACAGUCACACGCACGCACGCACGCAUACAUACAUACACACACACACCCUUUACUAAGCGGUAGGGGUGUAACGCUACGCCAUCAUCACGGUUAUCAUUAAUGGUCCUCCUCAUACUUACUUUCAACGCUUAAAUGUAUAGAUCAAAGGUGUCAAACUCAUUUUUAUUGAGGGCCACAUUGCAUUUAUGGCUGCCCUCAGAGGGCUGCUUGUAACUGUCAAUAUAGAGUAUAUGGAUAGAAAUGUAUCAUUGCCUCGUAUUGUUAUGAAACAGUUACCCUGCAAUUUAUGAUUAUAUUUUUACUAACAAAUUGAGAAGUGACAAGCUGAUGUUGAAGUAUUUAUUUUUGAUAACAAAAAAUGCUUGGAAUAUCUUGUUGCAUGAUAGAUAAUAUUAAAGUUUGGAAAAGGGAUGUCCAAAGUGCGGCCCGGGGGCCAGUUCUUUUUUAAUUGACCCAUGGCACAUUCUACAAUUAUGAUUUACGAGAAUAAAGUCAAAAUAUUAUGGGAAUUAAUUCAUAAUUAUGAGAAGAACAUUUAGAAGAAGCUGUAAUAAACUGGUAAUAUGAGAAAAAGUAAUGUAAUUUUAGUAGCCUAGAGUUGAAGGAAUAUGAUAUUUAAACAAACAAAACAAAAUAAAGUUGUCGUUUUUGGAUUGGGUUGGGGGAAAAGUCAUAAUAUUGGAAUAACAUCACAAAAUCAGGGGUAGUGAUAUAAUACACCUUGAGGUGCAACCUAGACACAUCGUCAGUGAACGAACCUGGCGUCAUCGGGUGUUUAGGGUCUUAGGUCCAGACACCCUCUUCCUGGCGACCCAGCCGGGGAUGAUCAGCCCCCGACUUGUGUCUAGGUAGCAAAACUCCGCCACUCCUCAGCCCUUUUAAUCCAGAGCCACCUAGAAGCUUUCUCAGCAGCUUCCAAGAUGCUCUUGAUGGCUCUUUGUUUCUGCUGCCCACAGAUCCCAAAGAGACCCAGGACCCGAUAUAGGGAUUGCCCUGCAAAACCCCUGCAGCCUACUUCCACAGGCUCGCAGCGGGCCUUCCAUCCCUGCCUCUGACAUUCCUCCACCAGAGAUGCAUACUUGGCUCUCUUCCUCUCUUGUGCCUCUUCCAUCCUGUCUUCCCGGGGGACUAUCAACUCCAAGAUCACCACCUGCUUGGUAGCCCCGGAGUGAUAGUCAUAAUAUUACAAAAAGAAAAUGUACACAAACUAUUUAAGAAGAAAGUUAAUAUAUUUGGGAAAUGUUUCAAAAAAACAGCAAGAAUGUCACCUACAGUACAGUAUAUGACAAAGCUGAGAUGCAGUUUUAAAAAAUACACAGAGUAUAUAACUUAUUAGCAUAUCUACAUGUGUUGCUUUAUGAAAUAUCAAAGUUAAAAGCAAAGUUGCAUCCUUUCAUUUUUCAUUAUGUGGCCCUCGCUGGUUGGAAAGGUUGGAAAUCUGGUUUAGAAAAACUGCAUGCAGUACAAUUUUUCAGUCAAAAUGAAAGAACAAAUAUGUUUAGAAGGAAGAAGGUGAAGUACAUUAUUGACAUACAUAGUUUCUAGGAUUUCAAUGAGCCACAUAAAAUAAUGUGGUGGGCCAGAUCCGGGCCCGAGUUUGACACCUGUGCUCUAGAUCAACUUCAGAUCUAUUAAGUUUUUUUUUUUUAUGUUUUUUAUGUUUUACACCUUUUUUGUCAAAGGAACCUCUGUUUUUUUAGUAGCAAAAACACCAAUAUGCAAUAUUGAAUUGUUUCAAAGUGGAAUAUUUGAUAUGAGGUAAUUAGAGCCUUUAACAUCUCAACAAUUUUUAUUAGCAUAUGUUUUUAUUAUUACAUGUUAUUAUAUUUUAAUAAUAACAUGAAACAUAGCCAUCAACACAAAGGACGAUCUGUCCUGAAAAUCGACUACAUUAAACUACUUUAAUUCAUUAUGAAACAGAAAUUGGAAGUGUUUGAAGAGUGAAUGAUUAUUUUCAUUUUCGUCAGAGAAAGUUGCCUUAUUGGCUGAAGUGCAGUAUUAACACUUCCAGCUUGUAGCCUGGUUCCCAAUCUCUUUGCUUUUUCUAUGUCUUAUCCCUCUAUGUGUUUACCUGGAAGGCCAAGUGUUCCCAAACAGGAGACUUUAACGAUGGAAGAGGGUUUUCAAGCUUUUGCAUCUCCUUGGCACUAUUUUUGUUGACUGAGCAAACGGGCAGUUAUGCGUCCUGUCCCUUACUCAUUGUGUGGGAACUCCGAAAACUCAAAAUCAGAUGACAAAUACAUGUACUGUUACACCCCUACUAUGCAGCAUUAAUAAUACGCUUCAUGCUGGACAUAAAAAAGGUGGCCACUGUAAGAAUUGAUUGCAGAAGAAAGAACACUGAUGUUUUUUUUUUAAUUUCUCCUUUUUCUUGUGUCUUUUUAAAUCGUUAUUUGCAAGGAUGUAGCCAAUUGUAGCGCUUGAGUCCGCUAUGCAAAUCAACCCUCCCCCUCAAGGCCCUGUAUCAGCCAAGAGGACAGAACACAACACAACACAACACGACAAACACCCACAAAGAGGAGAAGGAGGAGAUCUCAUGUUUUAAUGCUGCUGGUGAACUUUGUUGUUCUGCAUCUAUUUACUCUUAUAGUUUCAACCAAUGGAAUGCAAAAACUAAACAAGAGCGAGAGAAAGCGGGAGAGCGCAACUGACUAGAAGGACUUGAGCGAGAAUGAAUGUAAAUGAAAGGAUGACCGCGAUGAGGAGUUUACUGUUUGUGGGGGUGUGCGGGCUUGUGUGUGUCACAUAGGGGCUGGGUGGGAGUUAGUGUUGCUCUGGGGAAAGCGGGAACUUGUAUUUUUGCAAUAAAGUUAUUACCAAUGCCCUCCCACAGGGGGCAUAGCUACCGUAUGAUGGCUCUCUGUGUCAAUUGCACCACAAAAUGCAUGUCAUUCCCAUGUCAAAUUGGGCACUUUGAUAUUUUGAUAGAUUUCUUUCAUUUUAUAAAAAUGCCAAAAAAAGUUGUACUCAUAUUUAAAAACAAACUUUUGUGUUAGUAUUAUUUCUUAGUAUCCACAAUGCAGAUUUUUCUCUUUACUUUUUGCUCUAUUUUUCCCCGUUCUGUUUUCUUGUAUUCUUGCUUGUCACACAGGGUUUCGGCUACAUGCAAUUGAUCGUGGGGCACCACCAAGGGACAAGAUAAAAGUCACACACCUUGAAAAUGAGUUUUUUAACGUGAAAAAAAAAUUGAAAGGAAAACUGCAUUUUUUGGGGAAUUUUGCCCAUCAUCCACAAUCCUUAUGUGAGACAUAUGCACCAGGUACGUAACGAAACAAGUUUACCAAGUAACUUUAGAUACGAGCUGAGCUGAGGAAAACCUAAAAAAAAUCAGUCCGGAGUAGAGGCAGCGACCGACGCGACACGAGCCGUUUUCAACUCUGUCUUGUUAAAUGCACUGUCUGGCUGCCAAUCACAGAGCGUGAAGAGUUGCAGCGUUGAAUGGGC